GAUGAACGCUGACAGAAUGCUUAACACAUGCAAGUCGAUGGGGAAGUGGUGCUUGCACCAUGGUAACCAUGGCGGACGGGUGAGUAACGCGUAAGGAACUUACCUGCGGGACCGGGAUAACAGCAGGAAACUGCUGACAAGACCGGAUAAGGUCAUUAAGCUGCAUAGCUUAGUGAUGAAAGGAGACGCCUGCGGAGAGCCUUGCGUCCUAUUAGCUAGUUGGAGGGGUAACGGCCCACCAAGGCGAAGAUAGGUAGCCGGCCUGAGAGGGUGGACGGCCACAAGGGGACUGAGAUACGGCCCUUACUCCUACGGGAGGCAGCAGUGGAGAAUAUUGGACAAUGGGGGCAACCCUGAUCCAGCAAUUCUGUGUGCACGAAGACGGUUUUCGGAUUGUAAAGUGCUUUCAGCAGGGAAGAAGGAAGUGACGGUACCUGCAGAAGAAGCGACGGCUAAAUACGUG
RNAcentral lists this ribosomal RNA (463 nucleotides) under uncultured bacterium. RNAcentral describes it as "partial 16S ribosomal RNA". It matches the Rfam family "Bacterial small subunit ribosomal RNA", at positions 28 to 507 of the family's 1533-position model. The record is from RNAcentral.